Molecule: long non-coding RNA, 238 nt
Organism: Argiope bruennichi
Lineage: Eukaryota; Metazoa; Arthropoda; Arachnida; Araneae; Araneidae
Exons: 4
Source: RefSeq, a predicted model, not a curated record
GACGGUUACUUUUGGAUUUCACUUGAGAAUAUUCUGAUGUAUUUUGUAUGUUGAACAGUGAUGGUUACUUUUGGAUUUCACUUGAGAAUAUUCUGAUGUAUUUUGUAUGUUGAACAGUGAUGGUUACUUUUGGAUUUCACUUGAGAAUAUUCUGAUGUAUUUUGUAUGUUGAACAGUGAUGGUUACUUUUGGAUUUCACUUGAGAAUAUUCUGAUGUAUUUUGUAUGUUGAACAGUGG